AUUAGUAUAUCAUUGUAGUUCUGAGGGGUUCAUUUGGGGUUAUGUUGGAAAAGAAGGGAAAGGGUAAACACUAUUUGGUGCAAUCCUCACUGUUUCGCUUCUUUGCGUUUUGGAAUUUCAGUGUGGAAUGGCGCGCGAACAACACACGCCGACGCGACCGUGGAUCCAGGAUGCAGUGCCUUUGUUAGUGGUUCUUCUAAUAGCAGCUCAUGUCCUAGCUAUGAUAUAUUGGAUUUAUAGAUUAGCCACCCAGAAACAGGUGCAGCAUAGGAGAAAGACUCACUGAAGGAGGAGAAGGUUCAUUGGUGAACCCUAAUUUACCUCCUACGAAAUAUUUAGCAGCUAUAAAAUGUCCUUAAUCUUGGUUUUAUAGGCCUUGUUUGAUAACGAUCAAAGCAUUUACAAUUUUAAUUAGUGCAAAUGGAUUCAAUUCAUACGCAUAGCGUUGGUUAAUCACAUGAUUUUUUGUGGUCUCUUUUAGAGCUUGCUUUGAAUUUAGUAAGUGUAUUGGUUUUUUUAUUUUUA
Glycine soja is the source of this 525-nucleotide long non-coding RNA. RefSeq lists it as uncharacterized. The record is from RefSeq and is a predicted model, not a curated record. Lineage: Eukaryota; Viridiplantae; Streptophyta; Magnoliopsida; Fabales; Fabaceae. The transcript has 2 exons.